Molecule: ribosomal RNA, 726 nt
Filed under: Rhagada sheaei
Lineage: Eukaryota; Metazoa; Mollusca; Gastropoda; Stylommatophora; Camaenidae
Description: partial 16S ribosomal RNA
Rfam family: Bacterial large subunit ribosomal RNA
Source: RNAcentral
CGCGAAACUGCAUGAGCUAAGAAAUAUGUAUAGUAGUAAAAAAGUGUUGCAUAAUGUGAAGAAUAUUCCUUAGGGGUGAUAGGCCUGCCAAAUGCUGAGAUAACUCGUUUGCUCCCAAACUUAUUAAGUAUAAGGCAAGCCUUAAGUGCUAAGAUUUAAGGCGCGGAUAAAUCUAUUGGGUGAAUCUUUAUCUGGUGUAAAAGCAUAUAAAACGUCAUAAUAACAUUAAUCAAUUAUAGUUAUCAAAAAAAGGAGCAGAUAUGUAAAUAUAAUCUGAUACCCAUAAUGUUAAUAUGAGUAAUAUUUAAGCUACACCAAAUGAACUCGGCUAAAAUUUCUCGACUGUUUACCAAAAACAUAGCCGGUCGUACACAUAAUCGGUGUUUCCUGCUCAAUGACAAGUUAAAUAGCCGCAGUACCCUGACUGUGCAAAGGUAGCAUAAUCAAUUGGCUUAUAAUUGAAGUCUGGAAUGAAAGGAUAUACGGGAAAUUACUGUAUCAGGUGUAUACAAUAAAAUUGAUUAGCAAGUGAAAAUACUUGCACUCAACUGUUAGACGAGAAGACCCUAGAAAUUUGCAUAUGUGUUUUGUUGGGGCAACAUAGUAGGAUGUAACCUACAAUAUGGACAUGGAAUCAUUUAGGUAGAGAAAAUUACUCUAGGGAUAACAGCAUAAUUUAUUAGAGUUUGUGACCUCGAUGUUGGAUUUGGGAAUUAUGGUUCAGAA